UGACCUCAAAUCAGGC
Molecule: ribosomal RNA, 16 nt
Filed under: uncultured Glomus
Lineage: Eukaryota; Fungi; Glomeromycota; Glomeromycetes; Glomerales; Glomeraceae
Description: partial 28S ribosomal RNA
Source: RNAcentral